UUUCCGUAGGUGAACCUGCGGAAGGAUCAUUAACGAGUUAGGGUCUUCUAGGCCCGACCUCCCAACCCUUUGUUUACUGAACCAUUGUUGCCUCGGUGGGUCCGUCUUACGACCGCCGGGGGAUCGCCGCGAGGCGCCCCCUGGCCAGCGCCCACCGAUAGCCCAACCUUUAAAACCCUUUGUGAAUCGUGUCUUAUGUCUAAAUUUAUGAUUAAACAAUCAGAACAAAACUUUCAACAACGGAUCUCUUGGUUCUG
This 257-nucleotide unclassified non-coding RNA is filed under the name plant metagenome. RNAcentral's name for it is "partial contains small subunit ribosomal RNA, internal transcribed spacer 1, and 5.8S ribosomal RNA". The record is from RNAcentral.